UGUCAAGUGAUGGGAAUCGAACCCACGACCUUCCGCUUACCGGGCAGAUGCCAUGACCACUAGGCUACCCUGGAC
Cordylochernes scorpioides is the source of this 75-nucleotide non-coding RNA. The record is from the annotation of a GenBank genome assembly. NCBI's taxonomy places the organism in Eukaryota, Metazoa, Arthropoda, Arachnida, Pseudoscorpiones, Chernetidae.